UUCUUUUUUCUUUGUUGGGAGUUGCACAUGCUCAGCAGCUACGUAAGGACUACUAGCCAGUCAGAAGCAGAGUAUGAGAGAAUGCCAGGCUAGCAGCUAAGGGAGCCAU
Long non-coding RNA from Etheostoma cragini (Arkansas darter), 109 nucleotides. RefSeq lists it as uncharacterized. The record is from RefSeq and is a predicted model, not a curated record. NCBI's taxonomy places the organism in Eukaryota, Metazoa, Chordata, Actinopteri, Perciformes, Percidae. The transcript is spliced from 3 exons.